This 253-nucleotide ribosomal RNA is filed under the name uncultured bacterium. RNAcentral describes it as "partial 16S ribosomal RNA". It matches the Rfam family "Bacterial small subunit ribosomal RNA", at positions 524 to 776 of the family's 1533-position model. The record is from RNAcentral.
UACAGAGGUCUCAAGCGUUGUUCGGAUUCAUUGGGCGUAAAGGGCGCGUAGGCGGCGGGGUAUGUCGGGUGUGAAAUCUCAGAGCUCAACUCUGAAAUGGCACUUGAUACUGCUCUGCUAGAGGAGUGGAGAGGAGAUUGGAAUUCACGGUGUAGCAGUGAAAUGCGUAGAUAUCGUGAGGAAGACCGGUGGCGAAGGCGGAGCUCUGGACAGUUCCUGACGCUGAGGCGCGAAGGCCAGGGGAGCAAACAGG